UCGUAGGGGGGCUAGCGUUGUCCGGAAUCUUGGGCGUAAAGAGCGUGUAGGCGGUCCGGUAAGUCCGCUGUGAAAGUCGGGGGCUCAACCCUCGAAUGCCGGUGGAUACUGUCGGGCUAGAGUGCCGGAAGAGGCGAGUGGAAUUCCUGGGUGUAGCGGUGAAAUGCGCAGAUAUCAGGAGGAACACCUAUUGCGAAGGCAGCUCGCUGGG
RNAcentral lists this ribosomal RNA (211 nucleotides) under uncultured bacterium. Its description in RNAcentral is "partial 16S ribosomal RNA". It matches the Rfam family "Bacterial small subunit ribosomal RNA", at positions 524 to 733 of the family's 1533-position model. The record is from RNAcentral.